UGAUAACCCGGAGGAAGGUGGGGAUGACGUCAAGUCAUCAUGGCCUUUAUGGGGUGGGCUACACACGUGCUACAAUGGCGGUGACAGUGGGCAGCGAGGCAGCAAUGCCAAGCUAAUCUCAAAAAGCCGUCUCAGUUCGGAUUGGACUCUGCAACUCGAGUCCAUGAAGUCGGAAUCGCUAGUAAUCGCGGAUCAGCACGCCGCGGUGAAUACGUUCCCGGGCCUUGUACACACCGCCCGUCGCAACCAUGGGAGUUGGUCUUUCCCGAAGACGGUGCGCUAACCAGCAAUGGAGG
This 296-nucleotide ribosomal RNA is filed under the name uncultured bacterium. Its description in RNAcentral is "partial 16S ribosomal RNA". It matches the Rfam family "Bacterial small subunit ribosomal RNA", at positions 1156 to 1449 of the family's 1533-position model. The record is from RNAcentral.